GACGAACGCUGGCGGCGUGCUUAACACAUGCAAGUCGAACGGAAAGGCCCUGCUUUUGUGGGGAGCUCGAGUGGCGAACGGGUGAGUAACACGUGAGUAACCUGCCCUUGACUUUGGGAUAACUUCAGGAAACUGGGGCUAAUACCGGAUAGGAGCUCCUGCUGCAUGGUGGAGGUUGGAAAGUUUCGGCGGUUGGGGAUGGACUCGCGGCUUAUCAGCUUGUUGGUGGGGUAGUGGCUUACCAAGGCUUUGACGGGUAGCCGGCCUGAGAGGGUGACCGGCCACAUUGGGACUGAGAUACGGCCCAGACUCCUACGGGAGGCAGCAGUGGGGAAUAUUGCACAAUGGGCGGAAGCCUGAUGCAGCAACGCCGCGUGCGGGAUGACGGCCUUCGGGUUGUAAACCGCUUUCGCCUGUGACGAAGCGUGAGUGACGGUAAUGGGUAAAGAAGCACCGGCUAACUACGUG
Molecule: ribosomal RNA, 468 nt
Filed under: uncultured bacterium
Lineage: Bacteria
Description: partial 16S ribosomal RNA
Rfam family: Bacterial small subunit ribosomal RNA
Source: RNAcentral